GGAUGCGUGCCCGAGUGGUCUAAGGGCGCUGAUUCGAAAUCAGAUGGAUGGCGCAAGCCGUCACGAGCGUUCGACUCGCUCCGCAUCCGCCA
Molecule: transfer RNA, 92 nt
Filed under: Variovorax sp. RA8
Lineage: Bacteria; Pseudomonadati; Pseudomonadota; Betaproteobacteria; Burkholderiales; Comamonadaceae
Description: tRNA-Ser
Source: RNAcentral